GGCGAGCACGUUCCAUGGCUGCCUCACUCUCCCAGCCAUAAGCAUGUGUCCGGGAGUGUGGGUUUCCAUAGUAGUUGACCAGGCUAUGUGAUCUACAAGGGCCAGGACAUGACAAGAGUCCACAUGUUGAUGAAACCUUCCAUUAAUAUCGAAGUGCUUAUCAUGUGCCAGGCUCUGUUUAAAGGGCUGCUUUAUGUCUUUUAACCCACGUAAUACUUGCCCAAAUUCACACAGUUAUUAGUAAGUGGCAAUCCAGCUAAUUCCAGAGCCUAUGCAUUUAACUACUACCAAAGUGCCUACAUUGAAGUGAUCUCACCAAGGUCAACAGCUGGAUCCAGUCAUUUAUGUGCAUUGUCACUUCUGCAACAUGUUAUAAAUAGCCUUGGGGAAAGCUGCCCCUCUAUCCUUACCAGAGGAGUUGUAGCUUGGACGUCCAUAUACAGAGGUCGCAGCACUGACUCCACGUCCGGAGCAGUGGCUGUAUCUGAGGGAACAGCGGACUGGGGGGCAUUAUCUACAACUGACAACAAAACAAAAAAAAAAAAAAAAAAAAAAAGGUA
Molecule: long non-coding RNA, 560 nt
Organism: Panthera uncia (snow leopard)
Lineage: Eukaryota; Metazoa; Chordata; Mammalia; Carnivora; Felidae
Exons: 3
Source: RefSeq, a predicted model, not a curated record